UACAGAGGGUGCGAGCGUUAAUCGGAAUUACUGGGCGUAAAGCGAACGUAGGUGGUUUUGCAAGUCGAGUGUGAAAGCCCCGGGCUCAACCUGGGAACUGCAUUCGAGACUGCAUUACUCGAGUAUUGGAGAGGGCAGUGGAAUUUCCGGUGUAGCGGUGAAAUGCGUAGAUAUCGGAAGGAACAUCAGUGGCGAAAGCGACUGCCUGGCCAAAUACUGACACUCAAGUUCGAAAGCGUGGGGAGCAAACAGG
RNAcentral lists this ribosomal RNA (253 nucleotides) under uncultured bacterium. RNAcentral describes it as "partial 16S ribosomal RNA". It matches the Rfam family "Bacterial small subunit ribosomal RNA", at positions 524 to 776 of the family's 1533-position model. The record is from RNAcentral.